Long non-coding RNA from Zingiber officinale, 1647 nucleotides. RefSeq lists it as uncharacterized. Lineage: Eukaryota; Viridiplantae; Streptophyta; Magnoliopsida; Zingiberales; Zingiberaceae. The record is from RefSeq and is a predicted model, not a curated record. The transcript has 3 exons.
UCCGUAUUCCCCGCUGCCUACUGCCUUCCUUAUUCCUUGGCGUGAGCCCUCCGCCGCCUACCUCCUCACCACCACCUAGAUCAAUCCGAUUAGACGAGGAAGCAAUUUCCAUCCUAUCCUACCUCCUUCCGACUUCCAAGCUCUCUUCUCGCAGAAUCCUAGUCGCUUGUACCCACGCCCCACCCCACCCUAAUCCUUUUCCUUGCUUCAAGUCCACCCCUUACCACUGUCGACCUCUUCCCCAUCUUCCUCCCCACAUCAACCAAGCUACUAGUACAAGCUCAUCUCCGAUCGAGAACCUCUUCCCUUGGUCGUUUGAAUUCAAGGUUUUGGGAGAGCUCUCACACCCCAAAGUUCCUUUUUUUGGCUAUUGUUUAGGUUUUUGGGUUGUUGAAUGGCGAUGGAGGAUGCAACAGAGAGUUGCGACAGUUGGGAUGUGGUGGAUUUGGCUCGCAUACAUACUCGGCAGAAACUGCAACACCGUGUUUAACCAGUUCCUUAGCUACCACCAUCUUUACUCCGAUGUAUGCGCCACCUUCACAUUGCGUUGUUGCGGUUCCACGAAGUCACCACCUACACCGCAGGUGCCUGUGCUAUUGUAGCCUAUAAUCACAUAAGUUUAGUAUAUGGAAGAUUCCUAUGAGUGAUUCUUCUAUAGAACUUCCUAAAGGUAAAACUGUACUAAAUUUUUCGGUCUCCAUUUUAUCUCACUGCAUUAGGAAGCAUGCUUGAUGGAAAUUGUAUAACUUUUUUUUGUUAUCAUAUUUUUUGGCUUGUCAGAUAUUGGGGCAAUGACUUUUUUUUUGUUAAGUAAGAAUUUCAUUAGACAUAAAGUUGAUAUUUGUUCUUGUUCUUGAUCGUGCUAAUGGAUUACCUAUAUCUAAGGAUUUUGAGCAUGUUAUCCAUUUAGAAUUGCUAAAGUCAAAUUCUAUAACUAUGCACCAAACUAUUCAUCUUUUUAUUGACAUAUUUUCAAUUAGAAAAAAUUUCAUAAAAUUAUUGUUCGAAGGAUAUGGAUGCAUUAUGAUACUGUAGGUCUGAAAUAAUUUUAGUAUAGUUUUUUAAGGCUUGGAAUAAUUAUAGUAUGAUUAUUAAAUAAAAUUUUUUAAGGGUAUGGUGUAAGUUAUAAUUUAAUAGUCAUUCUCAAAUCUUAAUUUAUUUCUUAUUUUUAUUUUAUAUGACAUUCACAUUAUUGCAUAGAGGAGGUCAAGUGGAUGAGGAUACUUAUGCAAGAGCAAUAUGUUUUACUUGAAAUGCAGGUAGCUUCUUUGAACUGAUGUUGUUGAUAAGAUUGAGUAGUUCCUUGAGGUGAUUAAUAAGAUUGUCUCAACAAAAUUGGUUGGUUUGUUACUUUCUACAAGAGAAACAAUUCAUCUCAUGGAGUUCGAAGACAUGCUGCUAGCAAGAGGAUGGAGGAAAAAAUUAUUGAAUGAAUAAAUUUGAAGCUCGUUAUCACAAAAAGUAGGAAAGGGAGGAAAAGCUUAUCAAGAAAGGUAGACAAAGAGAAGAAAAUCUCAAGAAGAUGAUUCGUAAAAUGAUUCAAAAGGUAGAAUAUACAAAUCAAUUUUAUCUAGGAGGAUCUGGUCCCAUGGGCAUCAUGAUCGACAAUGUAAAAAUUAAAUUACUUAUGGUGAGAUUUAAAAAUCU